CGCUCUACUGCCAAUGUUGAAUAAAUUCAAGGUCAUUCCGCCAAAAAUGAGUGCUCAUAUGCAAUACUGAGUAACUUGAGAUAACGGACCAUUCAAGAACAAGUUUCCGAGAGCUCUUUAGCCUCCUCAUGUGACUAUGGUGGGAAGAAACCACUUCAACACGUUUGGGUCUUGAUCUUCCCUGUGUUUUUCUUGAUGGUACCACCCCGUACGAACGAUACAGGCAGCAAGAAACCAUAUGUACAGUCGUCGGAAAGAAUUGCUGGAUGCCCAACUGAUGACUUGAUUCGGGCAACGAGACCUUGGAAAUCCAUCCACUAAGAUUUUCCAGCGCCAAGCAGAUUGGUCCCUGAACUACAUUUUCAAGUGGAUUUUGUGUCUUUUCUGCUGUGUUAUUUGUUAAGGCAUGUAGACCAAUCUACAUGCAUGCACACGGUUUGAUUACAUGAUACGAGUCCGUUUUCUGAGUGCACUAGCCAAAACAGAAUACUCAUGAGUAUCCCAUCACUGUCCCAGUGACAUCUUGUGACUCACAGAUGACAUCACUCACAGGGCAGCUACAAAUUGGUGGAAAAUUGAAAAUCCAUGAAGUAACCACCAGAAGUUUUGAGGGUCCCACAAGAGUGUAUAGGGUCUAUGGUUGCCUGCCUGCACUUCCUUGCUGCUCCAAACCACAUGAUGACAGCUUGCUUGGGAGCUUUACAGGCUGCCAGUUAAUAACUCUGACAUUUCCUACAACCAUAUCCUGCACAUCUGUCUGGAUUAAUAUGCUGGUAACAGGUGUAUUGAAGUGGAUGUCAUGUCUGACGUCUUUUUAGGUUUCUAAUGAAGAAUUCUUUUUAAUUUUUUUUUAUAUACUGGCAUGGCCAUUAACCUAUCAUGCUAGUCACAAUUAAUAAUACUAUCUUCAGGCAAACUUUAAAUCUCAGUUCUGAUUGGUCAAUCCAUGACAACAAACAGUGUGAUAAAGAACCGCACUGCAUGGUUCAUAUCAAACCCUGCGUAAUCGACGCACAUGCUGUUCUAUUAAACUCAACGCAUUGUGCUAUUUUCAUGCUAAAAGCAAGCACACAUCUGCAGGACUGUAAAUUCAAGAGAGGCGUGUUUGCCCGUGCUGAUCAUCACGUGUUUAAAUGCACGUACAAAUCUAACAACUUAAUUUCUUAGUGCAAGUCCUGUUGUUAUUGUUGUUAUUGAAAUAAGUUAAACCACAAAUAAUUCCCAUAUCCCUCAAUAUACAUGUAAUUGCAUAGUUGUGGUAUGUCCUCGUUACUGUUUUGGCUGUGUGCUGUAUGAUACAUAUAUCUUUGGUCUUCUUUCUUUAUAUAAAGCGCACAUAGGCCCCUUUACUUUCUUUUCUGGGAGUCAAGUUUGCUUGAAGAUAAGUUCGUUAUCACACUCGUGCUUGUGGAACAAGGAAUAAUGUAGUGCGCCUUCGGCCUUGUGGCAUACGGGAUACAGACGCACAAUGUUAUUUCAUGUUCCAAUCGCGCUCCUGUGAUAAGUAAUAUUAUACCGUACAUGUAGCAUUAUCCAUGACUUACUUAUCAGGCCAACUUUUUUCCCAGGAGAUCUUAGGAUCUUCAGCUAUCACAGGAACCCUAACGUUACCCCCUCUGUACGCAGAAGUGUCCUUUAAACACACUGCAUGGGGCACUUGUUAGCGAACAGAGCUGCAUGCAUACUCAAAUAUGACUUGUUCCCCCAAAGGAGUCUUAUUAAGGCAAUUUUCCAUUUUUUUUCUUUGAUUUGUAAUCUGCUCUAGCAGAGCGGGAAGAAAAGAGGGCGUGUUAAUCAAUGGCAAUUACAGUCCUUUGGUGCACAAGUUUAUGCGAGUUUAACCCGGAGUGUGCUGAGUACGCAGAACAAUUUAUUCUGGAAUGUACAUGUAUGGUCUUUGCAUGCACGCCAACCGCGUGCAAAAACCCAGUUGGAAAACUUUGUGCCAGACUGUCUUUCGCUGGUGAGGGUGGACUUCGACUCUGAGCGGAAAAGGAAAUAAACAGAGCUCUUUGUUUUGAAGUACAUAUACAAAUGUAUAUGUACAAGUGUC
This 2053-nucleotide long non-coding RNA is filed under the name Acanthaster planci (crown-of-thorns starfish). RNAcentral describes it as "uncharacterized LOC110983130". Lineage: Eukaryota; Metazoa; Echinodermata; Asteroidea; Valvatida; Acanthasteridae. The record is from RNAcentral.